Molecule: ribosomal RNA, 253 nt
Filed under: uncultured bacterium
Lineage: Bacteria
Description: partial 16S ribosomal RNA
Rfam family: Bacterial small subunit ribosomal RNA
Source: RNAcentral
GCCGAACCACACAAACGUUAUUCGGAAUUACUGGGCUUAAAGGGUGCGUAGGCGGCGCGGCAAGUUGGGUGUGAAAUCCCUCGGCUCAACCGAGGAACUGCGCCCAAAACUACCGUGCUCGAGGGAGAUAGAGGUGAGCGGAACUUAGGGUGGAGCGGUGAAAUGCGUUGAUAUCCUAAGGAACACCCGUGGCGAAAGCGGCUCACUGGGUCUCGUCUGACGCUGAGGCACGAAAGCUAGGGUAGCGAGCGGG